This 410-nucleotide ribosomal RNA is filed under the name uncultured Gammaproteobacteria bacterium. Its description in RNAcentral is "bacterial SSU rRNA". It matches the Rfam family "Bacterial small subunit ribosomal RNA", at positions 370 to 779 of the family's 1533-position model. Lineage: Bacteria; Pseudomonadati; Pseudomonadota; Gammaproteobacteria. The record is from RNAcentral.
AAUGGGCGAAAGCCUGACGCAGCCACGCCGCGUGCCGGAUGAAGGCCUAUGGGUUGUAAACGGCUUUUACUAGGGAAGAAGAGAGGGUUUCGAUCUUCUGUGACGGUACCUAGUGAAUAAGCACCGGCUAACUCCGUGCCAGCAGCCGCGGUAAUACGGAGGGUGCAAGCGUUGUCCGGAAUCAUUGGGUGUAAAGGGUACGUAGGCGGGAGCCUAAGUCUGGGGUGAAAUCUUGCCGCUUAACGGUAAAAUGGCCCUGGAUACUGGGUUUCUUGAGUGCAGAAGAGGCAGGUGGAAUUCGCGGUGUAGCGGUGAAAUGCUUAGAUAUCACGAAGAACAUCAGUGGCGAAGGCGGCCUGCUGGUCUGCAACUGACGCUGAGGUACGAAAGCGUGGGGAGCGAACAGGAUU